Oncorhynchus tshawytscha (Chinook salmon) is the source of this 2566-nucleotide long non-coding RNA. NCBI's taxonomy places the organism in Eukaryota, Metazoa, Chordata, Actinopteri, Salmoniformes, Salmonidae. The record is from Ensembl.
AUUUAAUCAAAAUCACAUUUUUUUAUUCAUCACAAUAAUUACAAACAGUAGAAUGAAACAAAAAUUAAUGAAAUGAGUCGAUACGAUACAGCAGCAACAUUGAUUAAUAGUGGAGUUUAUCUGGUACAGCAGGAAGACAAUUUGUCAGUGGAAGAACAAUGGAGUGGCUGUUGAAUUGAAUUGAAUCUACCUGUAGCUGACUACAAGGAAAGAAGAACCCUGACCUCACAGAUACAUGUGUCUCUGUGGGAGGGAAGGGGGGUCCCUCUUAGCUCCACAGCAACCAGUCCCUCUUAGUUCCACAACAACCAGUCCCUCUUAGUUCCACAACAACCAGUCCCUCUUAGUUCCACAACAACCAGUCCCUCUUAGUUCCACAACAACCAGUCCCUCUUAGUUCCACAACAACCAGUCCCUCUUAGUUCCACAGCAACCAGUCCCUCUUAGUUCCACAACAACCAGUCCCUCUUAGUUCCACAACAACCAGUCCCUCUUAGUUCCACAACAACCAGUCCCUCUUAGUUCCACAGCAACCAGUCCCUCUUAGUUCCACAACAACCAGUCCCUCUUAGUUCCACAACAACCAGUCCCUCUUAGUUCCACAACAACCAGUCCCUCUUAACUCCACAACAACCAGUCCCUAUUAGUUCCACAACAACCAGUCCCUCUUAGUUCCACAACAACCAGUCCCUCUUAGUUCCACAACAACCAGUCCCUCUUAGUUCCACAACAACCAGUCCCUCUUAGUUCCACAACAACCAGUCCCUCUUCACUCCACAACAACCAGUCCCUCUUAGUUCCACAACAACCAGUCCCUCUUAGUUCCACAACAACCAGUCCCUCUUAGUUCCACAAUAACCAGUCCCUCUUAGUUCCACAACAACCAGUCCCUCUUAGUUCCACAACAACCAGUCCCUCUUAGUUCCACAACAACCAGUCCCUCUUAGUUCCACAACAACCAGUCCCUCUUAGUUCCACAACAACCAGUCCCUCUUAGUUCCACAACAACCAGUCCCUCUUAGUUCCACAACAACAAGUCCCUCUUAGUUCCACAACAACCAGUCCCUCUUAGUUCCACAACAACCAGUCCCUCUUAGUUCCACAACAACCAGUCCCUCUUAGUUCCACAACAACCAGUCCCUCUUAGUUCCACAACAACCAGUCCCUCUUAGUUCCACAACAACCAGUCCCACUUAGUUCCACAACAACCAGUCCCUCUUAGUUCCACAACAACCAGUCCCUCUUAGUUCCACAACAACCAGUCCCUCUUCACUCCACAACAACCAGUCCCUCUUAGUUCCACAGCAACCAGUCCCUCUUAGUUCCACAACAACCAGUCCCUCUUAGUUUCACAGCAACCAGUCCCUGUUAGCUAAGACAGUACGUUCCCAAUAAAAACAUAAUUCCACCUUGACAUUAUGGGGUAGAUCAGUGACAAAACAAUCUUCCUUUCAAUCCAUUUCAAAUUCAGGCUGUAAACACAACAAACAUUAGGAUAAAGUCAACGGGUGUGAAGGCUCAAAGUAAACAAAACAUUAUGAACACCUGCUCUUUCCAUGACAGACUGACCAGGUGAAUCCAGGUGAAAGCUGUCAUCCCUUAUUGAUGUCACCUGUUAAAUCCACUUCAAUCAGUGUAGAUGAAUGGGAGGAGACGGGAUAAAGGAAGGAUUUUUAAGCCUUGAGACAUGGAUUGUGUCUGUGUGUCAUUCAGAGGGUGAAUGGGCAAGACAAAAUAUUUAAGUGCCUUUGAACGGGGUAUGGUAGUAGGAGGUGCCUUUGAACAGGGUAUGGUAGUAGGUGCCUUUGAACAGGGUAUGGUAGUAGGUGCCUUUGAACAGGGUAUGGUAGUAGGUGCCUUUGAACAGGGUAUGGUAGUAGGUGCCUUUGAACAGGGUGUGGUAGUAGGUGCCUUUGAAUGGGGGUAUGGUAGUAGGUGCCUUUGAACAGGGUGUGGUAGUAGGUGCCAGGCACACUGGUUGUGUCAAGAACUGCAACGCUGCUGAGUUUUUCACACUCAACAGUUUCCCGUGUGUAUCAAGAAUUGUCAACCACCUAGAGAAGUUCCAGCCAACUUGACGCAAUUGUGGAAAGCAUUGGAGUCAACAUGGGCCAGCAUCCCUGUGGAACGCUUUCAACACCUUGUAGAGGGGGGUGGAGCAACUCAAUAUUAGGAAGCUGUUCUUAAUGUUUUGUUCACUCAAUGUAGAUUGUACAGUAUAGUACAUUCCCUGAACAAAAGCAGGAUCUAGAUUAUACAGCUCUAUCUGAACAGAUGCUGGCAAACCUAAAGAGUCAUUCCAUUUGAUUCUUGAUGACAGUCCAUGAUGCUGCUAAACCUAAAGAGUCAUUCCAUUUGAUUCUUGAUGACAGUCCAUGAUGCUGCUAAACCUAAAGAGUCAUUCCAUUUGAUUCUUGAUGACAGUCCAUGAUGCUGCUAAACCUAAAGAGUCACUCCAUUUGAUUCUCGAUGACAGUCCCUGAUGCUGCUAAACCUAAAGAGUCACUCCAUUUGAUUCUUGAUGACAGUCCCUGAUGCUGCUAAACCUAAAGAGUCACUCCAUUUG